AUCUUUUGUAGACUUGGAUAUCUUUCUGAAUGCUUUUAGUAGCAUGUCAGGUUUGAGGAUUGAUUUUAUUGUCUGUCUUUACAUUUCCAGGUCUAUGUUCCUUCAAUAUACCCCUAAUUUAUGUUAUAGAAUGUAUUAAGUGGGCCUUUGUGCCUAUAAACCUUAUACAACUUUCAGCAACGGAUCUCUUGGCUCUCGCAUCGAUGAAGAACGCAGCGAAAUGCGAUAAGUAAUGUGAAUUGCAGAAUUCAGUGAAUCAUCGAAUCUUUGAACGCACCUUGCGCUCCUUGGUAUUCCGAGGAGCAUGCCUGUUUGAGUGUCAUUAAUAUAUCAACUUCUUCAGGUUUUUUUGCUUGUUGAGUGUUGGAUGUGGGGGUUUUGCUGGCCUUUCUAAACUUUCUAAAGGUCAGCUCCCCUGAAAUGCAUUAGCGGAACAAUUUGUUGACUGUUCAUUGGUGUGAUAAUUAUCUGCGCUAUUGAACUGUGAGGCAAGUUCAGCUUCUAAUAGUCCAUUGACUUGGACAAAUUUUUUCAUUUAAUGUGACCUCAAAUCAGGUAGGACUACCCGCUGAACUUAAGCAUAUCAAUA
This 589-nucleotide ribosomal RNA is filed under the name uncultured Cortinarius. Its description in RNAcentral is "eukaryotic LSU rRNA". The stretch from base 169 to 322 matches the Rfam family "5.8S ribosomal RNA". The record is from RNAcentral. Lineage: Eukaryota; Fungi; Basidiomycota; Agaricomycetes; Agaricales; Cortinariaceae.